CACGUAGGGGGCGAGCGUUGUCCGGAAUUAUUGGGCGUAAAGCGCGCGCAGGCGGCCUGGAAAGUCUAUGGGUGAAAUGCCGGGGCUCAACCCCGUGCAUGCCCAGGAUACUGCCAGGCUGGAGACACGUAGAGGCAAGCGGAAUUCCGGGUGUAGCGGUGGAAUGCGUAGAGAUCCGGAAGAACACCGGAGGCGAAGGCGGCUUGCUGGGCGUGAUCGUGACGCUGAGGCGCGAAAGCGUGGGGAGCAAACAGG
Molecule: ribosomal RNA, 255 nt
Filed under: uncultured bacterium
Lineage: Bacteria
Description: partial 16S ribosomal RNA
Rfam family: Bacterial small subunit ribosomal RNA
Source: RNAcentral